Long non-coding RNA from Maniola jurtina (meadow brown), 75 nucleotides. RefSeq lists it as uncharacterized. The transcript has 3 exons. The record is from RefSeq and is a predicted model, not a curated record. NCBI's taxonomy places the organism in Eukaryota, Metazoa, Arthropoda, Insecta, Lepidoptera, Nymphalidae.
AUUAAUUACGUAAGCUACUUACGUGGGUAAAACUUACAGAUGUAAUCGCGGACUUACACAGAAGUGAAGUGUCUG